AUUGAACGCUGGCGGCAUGCCUUACACAUGCAAGUCGAACGGCAGCACGGGUGCUUGCACCUGGUGGCGAGUGGCGAACGGGUGAGUAAUACAUCGGAACGGACCUUAGCGUGGGGGAUAACGCAGCGAAAGCUGUGCUAAUACCGCAUACGCCCUGAGGGGGAAAGCGGGGGAUCGCAAGACCUCGCGCGAUUAGAGCGGCCGAUGCCUGAUUAGCUUGUUGGUGGGGUAAAAGCCCACCAAGGCGACGAUCAGUAGCUGGUCUGAGAGGACGAUCAGCCACACUGGGACUGCGACACGGCCCAGACUCCUCCGGGAGGCAGCAGUGGGGAAUUUUGGACAAUGGGGGCAACCCUGAUCCAGCAAUGCCGCGUGAGUGAAGAAGGCCUUCGGGUUGUAAAGCUCUUUUGUCAGGGAAGAAACACCGGCUCUAACACAGUCCGGGAAUGACGGUACCUGAAGAAUAAGCACCGGCUAACUACGUGCCAGCCGCCGCAGUAA
RNAcentral lists this ribosomal RNA (501 nucleotides) under uncultured bacterium. RNAcentral describes it as "partial 16S ribosomal RNA". It matches the Rfam family "Bacterial small subunit ribosomal RNA", at positions 29 to 523 of the family's 1533-position model. The record is from RNAcentral.